AAGACUUUAAGUUAAAAAAACUAUAUACCUUCAAAGCAUAAAUUAUAAAAUUAAGUCUUA
RNAcentral lists this transfer RNA (60 nucleotides) under Alectorobius peropteryx. RNAcentral's name for it is "tRNA-Trp". The record is from RNAcentral. Lineage: Eukaryota; Metazoa; Arthropoda; Arachnida; Ixodida; Argasidae.